Molecule: long non-coding RNA, 357 nt
Organism: Procambarus clarkii (red swamp crayfish)
Lineage: Eukaryota; Metazoa; Arthropoda; Malacostraca; Decapoda; Cambaridae
Source: RefSeq, a predicted model, not a curated record
UAGGGUUGCAUGACCCGGAUGCAAAGUUGACCUGUAGCGGGCGGUGGUGACUUGGGUCAGUCCAGCUACAACCACCAGCAGCUAACAACACAAUGUCGUCUCGUGGUGGUGGAAAGAAAGCUACAACAGCGCCCAGGAAACAAAGCGUGGACUCUGAUGUCGAAGCAAAAUCAUCGGGCGAUAAACGGGUGGAAAAACGCCCAAGAGAACCAAAGGCGCCAGUUGCCACCAGGGGUGGUAAGGCUGCUGCUCCAAAGAAGAGUGAAAAAAAAUAAGACGCCCGUCUUGCCCGUACUAUAAUAUUUUAAAAGUUGUAUUGUCUUUAGAAAAUUUUACUGUAAUAAAGUUAUUGUUAUA